This 117-nucleotide small RNA is filed under the name Pongo abelii (Sumatran orangutan). RNAcentral describes it as "Metazoan signal recognition particle RNA (ENSPPYG00000037468.1)". It matches the Rfam family "Metazoan signal recognition particle RNA". From Rfam's summary of the family: The signal recognition particle (SRP) is a universally conserved ribonucleoprotein. It is involved in the co-translational targeting of proteins to membranes. The record is from Rfam by way of RNAcentral. Lineage: Eukaryota; Metazoa; Chordata; Mammalia; Primates; Hominidae.
GCCGGGCGUGGUGGCUCACGCCUGUAAUCCCCACACUUUGGGAGGCUGAGGCAGGUGGAUCACCUGAGGUCAGGAGUUCAAGACCAGCCUGACCAAUAUGGUGAAACCCCGUCUCUA